AACGGAAAGGCCGUGCUUGCACUGGUACUCGAGUGGCGAACGGGUGAGUAACACGUGGGUGAUCUGCCCUGCACUUCGGGAUAAGCCUGGGAAACUGGGUCUAAUACCGGAUGGGACCACAUUUUGGAUGGUGUGGUGGAAAGUUUUUCGGUGUGGGAUGAGCUCGCGGCCUAUCAGCUUGUUGGUGGGGUAAUGGCCUACCAAGGCGUCGACGGGUAGCCGGCCUGAGAGGGUGUACGGCCACAUUGGGACUGAGAUACGGCCCAGACCCCUACGGGAGGCAGCAGUGGGGAAUAUUGCACAAUGGGCGCAAGCCUGAUGCAGCGACGCCGCGUGGGGGAUGAAGGCCUUCGGGUUGUAAACUCCUUUCGCUAGGGACGAAGCUUUUUUGUGACGGUACCUAGAUAAGAAGCACCGGCUAACUACGUGCCAGCAGCCGCGGUAAUACGUAGGGUGCGAGCGUUGUCCGGAAUUACUGGGCGUAAAGGGCUCGUAGGUGGUUUGUCGCGUCGUCUGUGAAAUUCUGGGGCUUAACUCCGGGCGUGCAGGCGAUACGGGCAUAACUUGAGUGCUGUAGGGGUAACUGGAAUUCCUGGUGU
RNAcentral lists this ribosomal RNA (599 nucleotides) under uncultured Corynebacterium sp. RNAcentral describes it as "bacterial SSU rRNA". It matches the Rfam family "Bacterial small subunit ribosomal RNA", at positions 65 to 676 of the family's 1533-position model. Lineage: Bacteria; Bacillati; Actinomycetota; Actinomycetes; Mycobacteriales; Corynebacteriaceae. The record is from RNAcentral.